AUUCCCUACGGGGCGCAGCAGUAGGGAAUCUUCCACAAUGGACGAAAGUCUGACGGAGCAACGCCGCGUGAGUGAAGAAGGGUUUCGGCUCGUAAAGCUCUGUUGGGAGUGAAGAAAGAUAGAGGUAGUAACUGGCCUUUAUUUGACGGUAAUUACUUAGGAAGUCACGGCUAACUACGUGCCAGCAGCCGCGGUAAUACGUAGGGGGGGAGCGUUGUCCGGAUUUAUUGGGCGUAAAGCGAGUG
RNAcentral lists this ribosomal RNA (245 nucleotides) under uncultured bacterium. RNAcentral describes it as "partial 16S ribosomal RNA". It matches the Rfam family "Bacterial small subunit ribosomal RNA", at positions 334 to 571 of the family's 1533-position model. The record is from RNAcentral.